UGACCAGAACUCUGGGGAUUUGGGUGAGG
RNAcentral lists this non-coding RNA (29 nucleotides) under Callithrix jacchus (white-tufted-ear marmoset). RNAcentral also lists the same sequence under 2 other names. The record is from RNAcentral. Lineage: Eukaryota; Metazoa; Chordata; Mammalia; Primates; Cebidae.